RNAcentral lists this ribosomal RNA (613 nucleotides) under Shigella flexneri. RNAcentral's name for it is "bacterial SSU rRNA". It matches the Rfam family "Bacterial small subunit ribosomal RNA", at positions 75 to 676 of the family's 1533-position model. The record is from RNAcentral. Lineage: Bacteria; Pseudomonadati; Pseudomonadota; Gammaproteobacteria; Enterobacterales; Enterobacteriaceae.
CAGGAACGCUUGCUGUUUCGCUGACCAGUGGCGGACGGGUGAGUAAUGUCUGGGAAACUGCCUGAUGGAGGGGGAUAACUACUGGAAACGGUAGCUAAUACCGCAUAACGUCACAAGACCAAAGAGGGGGACCUUUUGGCCUCUUGCCAUCGGAUGUGCCCAGAUGGGAUUAGCUAGUAGGUGGGGUAACGGCUCACCUAGGCGACGAUCCCUAGCUGGUCUGAGAGGAUGACCAGCCACACUGGAACUGAGACACGGUCCAGACUCCUACGGGAGGCAGCAGUGGGGAAUAUUGCACAAUGGGCGCAAGCCUGAUGCAGCCAUGCCGCGUGUAUGAAGAAGGCCUUCGGGUUGUAAAGUACUUUCAGCGGGGAGGAAGGGAGUAAAGUUAAUACCUUUGCUCAUUGACGUUACCCGCAGAAGAAGCACCGGUCUAACUCCGUGCCAGCAGCCGCGGUAAUACGGAGGGUGCAAGCGUUAAUCGGAAUUACUGGGCGUAAAGCGCACGCAGGCGGUUUGUUAAGUCAGAUGUGAAAUCCCCGGGCUCAACCUGGGAACUGCAUCUGAUACUGGCAAGCUUGAGUCUCGUAGAGGGGGGUAGAACUCCAUGUGU